Molecule: ribosomal RNA, 467 nt
Filed under: uncultured bacterium
Lineage: Bacteria
Description: partial 16S ribosomal RNA
Rfam family: Bacterial small subunit ribosomal RNA
Source: RNAcentral
GACGAACGCUGGCGGCGUGCUUAACACAUGCAAGUCGAACGGAAAGGCCUCUUUCGGGGGGUACUCGAGUGGCGAACGGGUGAGUAACACGUGAGUAACCUGCCCUUGACUUUGGGAUAACUUCAGGAAACUGGGGCUAAUACCGGAUAGGAGCUCCUGCUGCAUGGUGGGGGUUGGAAAGUUUCGGCGGUUGGGGAUGGACUCGCGGCUUAUCAGCUUGUUGGUGGGGUAGUGGCUUACCAAGGCUUUGACGGGUAGCCGGCCUGAGAGGGUGACCGGCCACACUGGGACUGAGAUACGGCCCAGACUCCCACGGGAGGCAGCAGUGGGGAAUAUUGCACAAUGGGUGGAAGCCUGAUGCAGCAACGCCGUGUGCGGGAUGACGGACUUCGGGUUGUAAACCGCUUUCGCUCAUGACGAAGCUUUGUGUGACGGUAGUGGGUAAAGAAGCACCGGCUAACUACGUG